UUUAUUUAGUAUAUAUAAAAAUUUGUAAAUUGUAUCUAUCUAUAAAAUAAUUUUAUUUUAUAGUUUACAAUUGUUAUUAAGUAACGUCCUGCCAAACCCGUCCCGCCAACUCGUCCCGUAAAAAAAUCUAUUUAUUUUAUUAAUGUGAAUCUUAUUUAUGAUAUGUUUAUAAAUUAUUGUCUAAAUUAU
This 189-nucleotide small RNA is filed under the name Arabidopsis thaliana (thale cress). RNAcentral describes it as "ATSL031420". The record is from RNAcentral. Lineage: Eukaryota; Viridiplantae; Streptophyta; Magnoliopsida; Brassicales; Brassicaceae.